GUCUCUUCGGAGACAUCUGAUAAAAUUUGAAUGAUAUAGAGAAGAUUAGCAUGGCUCUUACGCGAUGACACACACAAAUCGAGAAAUAGUCCAAACCCUU
Non-coding RNA from Spinacia oleracea (spinach), 100 nucleotides. The record is from Rfam. NCBI's taxonomy places the organism in Eukaryota, Viridiplantae, Streptophyta, Magnoliopsida, Caryophyllales, Amaranthaceae.